Molecule: non-coding RNA, 217 nt
Organism: Pelobates cultripes (western spadefoot toad)
Lineage: Eukaryota; Metazoa; Chordata; Amphibia; Anura; Pelobatidae
Source: the annotation of a GenBank genome assembly
GUCAGGGGCAGGUAAGUCUUUGUUGCGGUCGGCUUGCCGUGUGUACUACAACUCUGAACCGGAAAAGGGAUAUUCAACUGGGGCAAACAUAGGAAGUGAGGCAUAACAAAGUCUAUGCCUAGUGUCAGAAAGGACUAUGGUCUGAUAAAUACUUGUGGGUUAACGAGCUCUUCGAAUUGUGGCACUCUUAUGUCUUGACUCUGAAGGCUCAUGUUCC